CGGGAAGAUACGCCUCGAGAGCCGGAUCGGCUCCGGAUUCAAUGCGCCCGCAUUUAUUGGAGCCACCCGCAUCGGAACGACCGGGGGGCCGCAGUUUGGCUAUAAAUAUAGGUGCAGGUGCGAUGAAGCCUGCCAAGCCGGAGCUGUUCAGGUUGCCAUGGAUCGUGGGCCUCCUCUCCGGCGCAUGGUUGAGAGACCCCUACCGAAGGAACGGGAGGCGCGCCCUUCGCGACUUCCGCCAAC
This 243-nucleotide long non-coding RNA is filed under the name Phoenix dactylifera (date palm). RNAcentral's name for it is "long non-coding RNA (PDAC_LNC019442)". The record is from RNAcentral. Lineage: Eukaryota; Viridiplantae; Streptophyta; Magnoliopsida; Arecales; Arecaceae.